Molecule: ribosomal RNA, 253 nt
Filed under: uncultured bacterium
Lineage: Bacteria
Description: partial 16S ribosomal RNA
Rfam family: Bacterial small subunit ribosomal RNA
Source: RNAcentral
UACGUAUGGAGCAAGCGUUAUCCGGAUUUACUGGGUGUAAAGGGAGCGUAGGCGGCGGGGCAAGCCUGGUGUGAAAGCCCGGGGCUCAACCCCGGGACUGCAUUGGGAACUGCCCUGCUGGAGUGCCGGAGGGGCAGGCGGAAUUCCUAGUGUAGCGGUGAAAUGCGUAGAUAUUAGGAGGAACACCAGUGGCGAAGGCGGCCUGCUGGACGGUGACUGACGCUGAGGCUCGAAAGCGUGGGGAGCAAACAGG